AGUGAACGCUGGCGGUAGGCCUAACACAUGCAAGUCGAACGGCAGCACAGUAAGAGCUUGCUCUUACGGGUGGCGAGUGGCGGACGGGUGAGGAAUACAUCGGAAUCUACUUUUUCGUGGGGGAUAACGUAGGGAAACUUACGCUAAUACCGCAUACGACCUACGGGUGAAAGCAGGGGAUCUUCGGACCUUGCGCGAUUGAAUUAGCCGAUGUCGGAUUAGCUAGUUGGCGGGGUAAAGGCCCACCAAGGCGACGAUCCGUAGCUGGUCUGAGAGGAUGAUCGGCCACACUGGAACUGAGACACGGUCCAGACUCCUACGGGAGGCAGCAGUGGGGAAUAUUGCACAAUGGGCGCAAGCCUGAUCCAGCAAUACCGCGUGGGUGAAGAAGGUCUUCGGGUUGUAAAGCCCUUUUAUUGGGAAAGAAAAGAAGCAGGAUAAUCCCCCGCUGUUCUGACGGUACCCAAAGAAUAAGCACCGGCUAACUUCGUG
This 492-nucleotide ribosomal RNA is filed under the name uncultured bacterium. RNAcentral describes it as "partial 16S ribosomal RNA". It matches the Rfam family "Bacterial small subunit ribosomal RNA", at positions 29 to 507 of the family's 1533-position model. The record is from RNAcentral.